This 497-nucleotide ribosomal RNA is filed under the name uncultured bacterium. Its description in RNAcentral is "partial 16S ribosomal RNA". It matches the Rfam family "Bacterial small subunit ribosomal RNA", at positions 28 to 507 of the family's 1533-position model. The record is from RNAcentral.
GAUGAACGCUGGCGGCGUGCCUAAUACAUGCAAGUCGAGCGAACAGAUGAGGAGCUUGCUCCUCUGACGUUAGCGGCGGACGGGCGAGUAACACGUGGAUAACCUACCUAUAAGACUGGGAUAACUUCGGGAAACCGGGGCUAAUACCGGAUAAUAUAUUGAACCGCAUGGUUCAAUAGUGAAAGACGGUUUUGCUGUCACUUAUAGAUGGAUCCGCGCCGCAUUAGCUAGUUGGUAAGGUAACGGCUUACCAAGGCAACGAUGCGUAGCCGACCUGAGAGGGUGAUCGGCCACACUGGAACUGAGACACGGUCCAGACUCCUACGGGAGGCAGCAGUAGGGAAUCUUCCGCAAUGGGCGAAAGCCUGACGGAGCAACGCCGCGUGAGUGAUGAAGGUCUUCGGAUCGUAAAACUCUGUUAUUAGGGAAGAACAAAUGUGUAAGUAACUAUGCACGUCUUGACGGUACCUAAUCAGAAAGCCACGGCUAACUACGUG